RNAcentral lists this ribosomal RNA (497 nucleotides) under uncultured bacterium. RNAcentral's name for it is "partial 16S ribosomal RNA". It matches the Rfam family "Bacterial small subunit ribosomal RNA", at positions 28 to 507 of the family's 1533-position model. The record is from RNAcentral.
GAUGAACGCUGGCGGCGUGCCUAAUACAUGCAAGUCGAGCGAACGGACGAGAAGCUUGCUUCUCUGAUGUUAGCGGCGGACGGGUGAGUAACACGUGGAUAACCUACCUAUAAGACUGGGAUAACUUCGGGAAACCGGAGCUAAUACCGGAUAAUAUUUUGAACCGCAUGGUUCAAAAGUGAAAGACGGUCUUGCUGUCACUUAUAGAUGGAUCCGCGCUGCAUUAGCUAGUUGGUAAGGUAACGGCUUACCAAGGCAACGAUGCAUAGCCGACCUGAGAGGGUGAUCGGCCACACUGGAACUGAGACACGGUCCAGACUCCUACGGGAGGCAACAGUAGGGAAUCUUCCGCUAUGGGCGAAAGCCUGACGGAGCAACGCCGCGUGAGUGAUGAAGGUCUUCGGAUCGUAAAACUCUGUUAUUAGGGAAGAACAUAUGUGUAAGUAACUGUGCACAUCUUGACGGUACCUAAUCAGAAAGCCACGGCUAACUACGUG